AACGAACGCUGGCGGCAGGCCUAACACAUGCAAGUCGAGCGAGGUAGCAAUACCUAGCGGCGGACGGGUGAGUAACGCGUGGGAACGUACCCUUUGCUACGGAAUAGCCCCGGGAAACUGGGAGUAAUACCGUAUGUGCCCUUCGGGGGAAAGAUUUAUCGGCAAAGGAUCGGCCCGCGUUGGAUUAGGUAGUUGGUGGGGUAAUGGCCUACCAAGCCGACGAUCCAUAGCUGGUUUGAGAGGAUGAUCAGCCACACUGGGACUGAGACACGGCCCAGACUCCUACGGGAGGCAGCAGUGGGGAAUUUUGGACAAUAGGCGCAAGCCUGAUCCAGCCAUGCCGCGUGCGGGACGAAGGCCUCGGGUUGUAAACCGCUUUCUAGCCGGAAGAAAUACGCCAAGGCUAAUAUCCUU
RNAcentral lists this ribosomal RNA (414 nucleotides) under uncultured bacterium. RNAcentral's name for it is "bacterial SSU rRNA". It matches the Rfam family "Bacterial small subunit ribosomal RNA", at positions 29 to 476 of the family's 1533-position model. The record is from RNAcentral.